Molecule: long non-coding RNA, 17004 nt
Filed under: Hordeum vulgare
Lineage: Eukaryota; Viridiplantae; Streptophyta; Magnoliopsida; Poales; Poaceae
Description: long non-coding RNA (HVUL_LNC019796)
Source: RNAcentral
GCCCACCGGCUGGUCAACCCUAACGCUCGCAGACCCUGGUUUCCGAAGAGUGGAACGGUUAUACGGCACGACUUUAUUAUGUACUGAACCGAUAAUGAUAUCUUCUCGUGUACUUGCAUGUUUGCUAUUACGAAUAAAACUGGAUAUCUAGGCGUGAUAUGAAUGGUUUUAGAGCAUCUUCAACGCGGCGCGGUUCGACCGACGUUCAAAAAACUAAUUUACAAUGCGCAGUUAGCUUUUUUAUGAUGUUGACGAGCGCUGGCUCCAGCGAUCGCAACAUAUUUGGUGCGUGUGCGGCGCUUCAGCAGCCGCUGCAAAUAAUACUUAAAACUUAUCCAAAUGCAUAUAGUUCAUUGUUGUCGUAUAGAUAAAACAUAUAGAUAAUAUAUUACAUAUAGAUAAUAAAACAUAAAUAAUAUAUUACAUAUGGAUAAUAAAACUAGUUCAACACAUAGAUAAUAAAACUAUUUCAACACAUAGAUAAUAAAACUAGCAUAUAUAGAUAAAACUACUCCGAGUCGUCACCGUGGAUGCUGUCCGAGGUAGAUAGAAACGCGUCCUCCCAACGUUAAUCGUCGGAAGUGAGGAUGGACGACAAACCGCUUAGGACAGCCCCGCGGUGCGAUACAGCGAGUAACUUGCGCCGACGUCUGUCCCGCCGCUCCGCGCGACGCCUUGCCAUCCUCUCCGCCCAGUAGGCGUUCUCGGCGUCGACGUCCUCCGGGUGGCGCUCGCGUCACUCCGUCAUGGCUCGCUCGUCCUCCUCAGCGACGAGGAGCUGGCGCUGCUGCCGACGGUGCUCCUGACGGUCUUGCUCCGUGAUCAGAUGAGGGGGAGGGGCGAGGUCUUGCGCCUGCUCGCGUGUGUAGACGUCGUGGAAGUUCAUCUGCGCACGAGGCCUUCCUACUCGCCACGCCGCCGCGUCGUACGCAUGGGCGGCUUCGUGCGUGGUCUCGAACGUGCCGAGGCCGAGGGAGACGUCGCGAGACCGGAUCUCGGCGUAGUAGGUGCCGGAGGGGCGCUCGCGGACGCCGCGGUAGCCAGAGGAUGAACGGCGACGCGGCGGCAUGGUGGCAGAGGGAAUGGUGAGGGAGAGGUAGAGGAAGAGGGGAGAAGCUGCGAGGAAGAGGCGCGUGGCUGUGGGCAGCCGCGUGGCGGACGCGACAUUUUAUAGCGCGCUGAAAGCGGUGCGCCAAAUAUGGCGUGCAACCGCCCGCUUUCUCUCUCUCUUGCGCGCUUUUUUGCCGCGUCCGCUGGAGCGCGCGAUUUCAUCCCGCGCGUGUUAAAAGUCGUGUUUACCACACGCGUAUAUUUUGUUGAAGAUGCUCUUAGUACUUGCACUUUUUGUUUUGCCCUCAUGGCAUGUACUCCCUCCAUAGGCGUAGACAGGCCCAGGUUACCGGGCCAUGGCAACCUGUCCAUUCGUUGACUAUAGCAUCAAAGACCCUGUUUGUUUCAGAAGUUCCGGGAUUUUUUUUAGUCUCAACUUAAAAGUUUCUAAUCCUUACCCGUUUGUUUCCAGAGACUAAAUAGGGACUAGAGGUCAUUAAAUGACAUGUAAAAAGACCAUGUUACCCUUAGUAAUGUAGUAGUACUUAUUAAUUGGCAUGCUAAAAGUAAGAGCAAUGUUGGAAAAAGUGCCAAAAAGUCCCAAAAAGACCCUCCCAUCGGGACUUCUCGAAAUAGUCCCAAAUGCCCCCUUUUAGUCCCUAAAAGUCCCUCCUGUUUGUUUCACAUGAUACUUUUUGAGACUUUUUUUAGUCCCUACAUAAAAAAAUCCCUGGAAACAAACACCUCCAAAAUCACUAUUCUACACUGUUCUACCUGUACAGUAGCUGGGUCGUAUUUCCGACCUGGCUACGCCUUUGCUCCAUACAAAUUCUUCAGUAUCAGUGUUCUGCAACGGAUCCAUUGUUUCAGAAAAUGAUUUUGUAACUAACUCUUUGUUGCAAAACAAACAAACUAUAUUCCGUAGCGGCUCGGACCAGGGAGGAUAAUUAAAAUCUACAACAUAACUCAUGUUGCAAAAAAAUUCCUGAAAUAUGACUCAUGUUGGAAAAAAAUUAAUCACGUAAUACAAUCUAUGUUAAAAAAAAUCGCAUCAAAAAUUCUAUUGAAAAUGUUUCCGUAACAAGACUUUUGUUGCAAAAUAGACAAAGAAAUCUCGCUGAUGGAUUGUAUCAAAUCCAACAGCUCACGAGGCGACGGAUUUUUUAUAAAAAUCCACUGGCUGACGCAUAGCAGUCUUCAUAUAUAAAACGUUUUGUCAGUUCAAGCAAAAAUGUUUUAUAUUUUAGUGCAAAGAUAGUAAUAAUUUAGGGCACGCUCUGACAGCUUUCGGUGCCUCUCAACAGGCAAACCUACAUCUGUGGUUAGAAGACCUGCAUGACAGUGUACUUGUUCGACGGGCCAACGCUUCGGCUGAGUCAACGUGAGUAUGGAAUCGGAGCGUUCCAUUUAAAAAAAAACUAGGCAUAAAGGUUGUAGGGCGAUGCGUCACCCUGCCUGGAAAUGAAGAUGAGAGCAUCCUCAACAGACGCGCUACGAAGCUGCGCGCUAAAUUUUUUUUACAGCGUUAAAAUAGCGUUUUACUGCACCGGAUGACCGAACAUCUUCAAUAGACGCUCAAAGAUAUAACGCGCGUACCAUCUCCAGCAGACGCCCAAAAAUAUAACAUGCCCCGCCGCGACCUGCUCCUCCCCGCCCGCCAUGGUCGCGGCCUGCUCCUCCCCACCGCCGCGACCUGCUCCUCCCCGCCGCCGCGACCCGCCGUCGACCAGCUCGAGGAGCAGGGCGGCAUCGCCGGAGGCGGCCGCGGGAAGGAUGGAGUGGCAGCAGACGACGAAGGGUGAGGUGGUGCGGCUGAGGACGUCGGCCUCGGCGGCCGCGGCCGGGUCGCCGUAGUGCUGCACCUUGAGCGCGUAGAGCGCGCACGUCUCCCGGUGGCGCACCUUGUAGACAGUGCCGCCCUUCCCGCGGCCCAGGACGGCGAGCUUGUCGAAGUCGGCAAGGCGGAACUGGCUGGACAACGCCGACGGGGCCGAGGCCUUGGUGGCCGCCGGGUUGGUGCGCCGGGCGAGGACGGCGAGGUCCUGGGCGGCGGCGCAGGACGGGAUGGGCAGCGCGAGGAGUUUCAGCGCGCACGAAAAGUUCAGCGCGCAUGAGCUCGCGCACGAAAUAUACCGCGUCCGGUUCAGUUUUCCCCAGCGCGCUGAACAUUUUUUACGGCGUGCUCUAUUAUACAACGUCUGUUGGAGUGCAAUUUUUAACUCCACGCGCGCUAAACUUGUGAUUUUUUGGGCACGAUGUUAAUAUUGGGCGUCUGCUGAAGAUGGUCUCAAGCACUAUACCCGUUAAACGAAAAUUCUAAAUGUGGUGCUCAAUCUCACUGUAUGGUCACGGUAGUUAGGUCAUGCUUGACCAAAGUUAAAAAGAAAAGAUCCAUGAUUAGCUCUUGGAGGCAUAUUUCUAUAGAAGAAUCCACAUGGGCUAGAUAGCUCCAUACUAUCCUAGCCAAGAGGUUGACACCCUAUUCUUGCUUGACCAAAGUUGUUUCACGGGAACCAAGACAUGAGAUUAAAGGGAUGAGCAUUUUUUUUGGCAUAUUAAAGGGGUAAGGAAACGUUGCAUAAAUUACAAUAAACUUGUUAUCUUUUCGGCAAACCUUUCAACUACACGUGAAAUGGAAGAGUUAUUUUUUCACUAAAAAGGGAAAAAGGUUUCUUGUUGUUGUGCCGAAGCAAAGAAAAAUGUUGAUUUUUUCCCUAAAAGGAUCCAAUCUAUUAUAUAGAUUCAUAAGUAUGAAGUAUCUCAAGUUUCUCCCUAAUCUCCCGUAAUAAUAAAGCGCCGAUCGCUUCUGUCGCCCGUCGUGGCCAUUUUACAAAAAACACCCUGUCUUUUGAAGUAAUUAACCCGCAGUCCUUCUGCAAGUCAGGUUGAACCGUUUUUUAUGUUUUACGCAAAACCCCUUAUGUUUAAUCUGAAUUAACCCGCGGUCCCUUCGUCAUCUCCAGUGGAGGCAGAUCCAGCGGCGAUCGGGCAGUUUUUUGAUCUGCUAGCUCCCCGAGCUGAUCGGAUAGGAUGGCGGGGAAGGAGCAGGCCGACGCGGGCGGGAGCGGGGCCGGGGCCGGUGCCGGUGCCGGGCGGGAGCAGACCCCCGCCGCGAGUGCCGGUGCCCGCGGUUUCCACGCAACAGCCGAUUAAGAAGCUGGUCAGGCAGCUCGACUUCAACUACGGGAACCCCGCCAUGGCGGCCGCCGCUGCCGCCGUUUCCCGGAUAGUGCCGCCGAGGGCACUGCAGGUCGGGUACCCGCAGCCGCACCAGCUGAGGACAGCGUUGCCCAUGGGGGUGCCGCAUCAGCUGCAGCCGCGGGGGCUGCCCGUGAUGCGGCCAGUACAGCGCCCGCCGGUGGCCGUUCCCUUGUGAGUACCUCCCUUUUCAAGAUUUAUUACGCCUUGUGUCAAGUUUUGAAUUUUUUGCUUCCGAGUCAACUUAUAUACUUUUAUAUACGUCUUUCCCUUAAUAUUAUGCAUAUCAAGGAGCUGUCUCAUGAAUCAAUAUAAGAAAAAAAUUAAGUUGUCGGGUGCAUAAUUUCAGUGUUUAUACAAACGCAUGUUAAUAAUGUGCACGCAGCAUCUACACGAAAAUCUUCGUUAUAAUGACUAUCCACUCAACAUCUCCUUUUCUCAUUUCUCAUCAAAGAUUAAAAGUAUCGAACGGCCCACCCAGAUGUUGUGUGAGUGUAAUCGUAAGUGCACGCCAUCAAUAUGACGAGUCAAAAUAAAAAAUGUAUCAAAAUUAAAAUAAUAACUUAAAUAAAAUAAAAUGUUUACCCCGUUGCAACGCACGGGCAUUUUUGCUAGUAAUAAUAAAGCAAUUAGGAUUUCUAGUCGUCUGUCAUGGCAAUUUUUGCAAAAAGGCCCUUCUCUUUUCUAUUAAUAAACCCGCAAUCCUAUAGUAAGUAGAAAAACGUUUCGUGUCUGGUGGACACCCUGGCCGGCGACACCCUCCUCUGCAAGCGCUACAGUGCCGUGCCGGCCGCCGACACCGAGCCCGCCGCCCGCGCCAUCGAGGCCGAGGUCUUCGACACCGCCGUCGUCGGCGGUGGGGCCGCCGCAUCCGUCGACUUCGUCAAGUCCUGCUCUGCCGCCGUCAAUGUCGAGCCAUCGGAGGCGCCGCCGGCCGUCAAGGCCGAUCCUGAUUUCAAACCUCAAAAGAAGGAAGAUGGAUGAUUCUGAUAAAAACAGAUAAUACACAUGCGUGAAGGAGCACGGGCUGGGAGCGGCGGAUGCGACAGCUCCCGAUGGAGCGCGGAUAGGAGCACGAGGGGGGUGCCGGGCUCCUGGGGCUAUGUUGCGGAAUGUCAGAUCUAGGCAUAAGGACGAUGCAGGCCGAGAAUCCAUGAAAAAGGCAAUGGAGAAAGGGCGUGAGGUCGUGCACCGCCGGAUCUCCGCGCGAGGUAGCUACGGGCAAUGGGGAUGCAGCCUAAAGAGGCGGCACAUCCCGAGGGGACCUCCUGGUUAUCAGGGUCUGGAUGGAUAACUGUUUCUUUAUUUAAUUAUUUGGGAUAGAGUUUUUUAUUUUAUGCUUAAAACAGGUACUUCAUUUCUUGGAUACCGAAUCCAUACAUUUCUUGGAUACCGAAUCCAUACAUUUCUGGCGGCGGCCAAGGAUGGAUAACAUGUAUUCAAGUUCUAUACGUGCAUGCUACAGUACCUGCUUACAUAAUUUUGAAAAUGUCUGCAUGCUUUAAAAAAAUGGUCGUGUAAUUUAAAACGUGUUCGCGCUUUUUGAAAAAAAAGUUAUUUUUUUAAAAAGUGCACUUGCAUUUUAAAUGUUUGUAUUGUUUUCAAAAAAGAGUUUAUGUACUAAAAUAUUGUUUACAUUUUUUUAAAACAUCCUUUCUAAAAAUGUAUUCAUAUAAUUCUAAAAGUGUUUGCAUGUUAAAAAAUGUUUGUAAAUUUAAAAAGGUUAUGUGAUUCAAGAAAAUGUUCGUGUGUUUUAAAAAGCUGAAGAAAAUAAAUUAAAAGUGAGUUGGAUUAAAAGGGGCAGCGGAUGGAAUAGGAAUAGGUGCAUGGUGUACGACGGCCCUUAUAGUGUAUGGAUUAGUUUAGAAGUUUUAAAUGCUCCUUUGCUUUGGUGCAGUUCAGUGAUAAAUAUGUUGUGCGGUGGUCAAGAUUGAAGGGGGUUCUUUUUUCUCUUACCCACACAUGGGCUUCGAAUUCCUGACUGAUUUUUCUUGAAGAACCGCUAAUUGAAGUUGUCGAAUAACAUGUAUUAAUUUAUUUCUUGAUCCAUCUUGAUAAGAUUAAUCCUUAGUGUCUUUUCACAUAUGUUCUCUUGAUAUCAGAUGUGAUAUACAUAUAUAUAUACGUUUGUCUAUGGUAUUUGCUCGCAAUGUGAAACACCUGUAAUGAUUAGAAUCCGUUUAAUAAAAGAAGAUUUGAAUUCAUGCACGUAAAUUAAGAAUCUCGUCAUUCAAUAUAUAACGACCACCGUAAAUAUAUCACGGUCGGUGAGAAAUUUUCCAAUUACUCACAUUAAUAUACUAAUCUAGAUACCGUCAACAAUCUAGAUAUUGUCCCUCGUCCAAUUGUUUUGUUGGACUCAUACCAAGAUAUGUGCUAUAUGUGACGUGAAUCAGAUGUUGCUAACUCUGAUAUCAGCUUGAUGAGGUCAUUGGAAUGUCGUUCCUAAGUAAAAGUUUCCUGUUAUUUUUUUAAUCAUUUUGUUAACAGCAGCCUUACAAAUUUAGAGAAGCAACCUUACCAGAUAUAGCGUAUUAUAUAUUUUUUAUAUUCCCGUUGCAACGCAUGGGUAUCUUUAUUAGUAUAAUAUAAAUCACAUCAAGGCCCCUCCACAACCAAACGAUCAAAAGCGCCUCCAAACCAAGCCGUCAACGCACCACUAUCGCCACUCUUUACAGGAGCCAUUUUGACCAUGGUGAUGCUAGUGAGGAAGCGUGCGCAUGGCCUUAAGGACCCUUGAAGCGAUAUGUUAUGUUCAUUGAAAAAUAAAAAAAAAUGCACACCCGUUUGCUGCGCUAUAGUAAUUUUUAAGGGCUUUAUUUUUUUAUAUCAUGCUAAUUUUUUUCUUGGUGUGUCUCACACCAAAUCUCAUAGCCACGCACAUACGACGAGAAAUGCUAACCUCGCGGCCUCAAAGAGAUGGCAAGAAUCUAUGCUAGAGCUGUGUCGACUCCGUCUUCGGAGACAAACUCAAAGCGAAUCGGAGCCUAGCUAGGAGACUAUAUCAAAAAUGAAACGCUACCAUGUGAUCGAACACACCCUUGCGAGAGAAAAAAAUCAUAACCUAAACUAUAAAUUGGAGCCGAGGCACCUAGAUCACUUCCCCGCCACCAACCGCGUGAGCGACGGACAUAAGGAAGGUGGGUCGAUGGCCUCUCUAGCGAAGCUUGGAAGGGGUGAGUGCUCUAAUCAUCGUGGUCGUGGGGGAGAAAGAGAAACCCUAAGAAAAAUGUUGAGUAAGCUUAGACUGGCCACUAACUACGACUGCACUUUAGUCAUUGCCAUGGGUCCAACUCCAUGUGCCUUCUAUGGAUAACACUAGGUGCAAACAAUCCCUAGUCACCGACACAACAAUCCCUUCCCUUCACUCAUUGCUACCAUCGCCCGUACCGCGUACGCUGGAGAAGGCCGGGACUUUGAGGGUGUGAGUGUUGUUCACACAAAAUUUAGAGUGGCAAUCUAUGAGACAAUGUUGUUAUUAAUAGUAGAUGUCAAUGUAGAGAGGUUCUAGAGGGGGUGAAUAUAUGCUUCACUGGUGGAGAAAUGGCUAACCAUAACUCUUGUUUGUGGCGCGCCAUUUCUUACUGACGCCAGCACUAAUAUUUUUAAAUAGUGCCGACAUCGGUCAAAUUCGCACGUCGUAGCUAUUUGGUUAGUGCUGGGGUUGCCAAAUUAGGCCCGGCGUUGCACGUUAGACCCAUUAGGCCCACACCAGCACUAGUCGGUUUUAACUGCUCCAGAGUGACGCAGUAAAAAAACCUAUCGUCCUUUCGUCCUCUUCUCGAUCCCAACUCCACCCCGUCCUCAUUUGGAUCCCCGCCGCUGCGUUGCCCGAAGUCGCCUCCACCCCGCCGAACGCUGCUGUCGCCUCUGCCCGACGUUGCCGCUGACUCCGCCCAAAGCCGCCUCUGGCUCCACCCGAUGUCGUCGCCGCCUUCGCUCGGUGCCCCCGAUCGAGCACCUGUGCGUAAGUCUGGCACCCCCCCCUCUCUCAUUUUUCUUAGGCUUAGGGUUAGUUGCCCGAUGGUAGUAGGUAUAUUUCGUCCUUAGCAAAUUACUAAGCCUAAUUAGUAAAUAUGUUGCAAUUGUUGCAUUUAAACACCUCAAAGUAAUUGUCAUAUGGUAUAUUUCCUCGUUGUUUAGAAUGACUGAUGUUUAGUAUCAAUGUGUUGCAAUUGGUGCACGUAAAACACCUCAAAGUAAUUGUAAAUAUCUUUAAUUAGUGUCACCUCAACAACGAGAGAUAGGAGUGGAUGUGAGAGAUAGGAUUUUGGAGGGUAGCUAGGCUUCAAGUUUAGGGCCUCCUUUGGUUUGUAGGAAUAUUGUAGGAAUUUCAUAUAUGGGAUAGGAUUUUCAAAGGAAACAAUUCCUAUGAAGCCCUUUCGAUUAUAGGAAUGGAUUCCUAUUCCUAUAUAGGAUAGGAAUCAAUCCUUCACAUUUCAUAGAGAAAAAUCAUUAGCCUGGACUCAAUGGAAAAAUUCAUAUCAUAUGCAUCAAAUGACAUAACUUUCUCUAAAGGAAUUAAGAUGCAUGUCAUCUCACUUCCUAUGAUUUUCCUAUCCCUAUGGUAUUCCUAUCCUAUGAACCAAAGGAGGCUCACAUUAAAUAGGAUAUGACUAUAUAUUGAUCAUGUUUGUUUUAACUAAAUACACUUAUCAAUUUUGAAUAUAUGUUUGGUAGAACACUGAUAAUUAGUUUUUCAUAUGUGUUUGGUAGCACACUUAUAAUUAGUUUUUCAUAUGUGUUUGGUAGCACACUCAUAAUUCGGUUUUACUUAAUUUGUCUCAUGUUUAUGUGUUUGGUAGCAUAUAUGUUUGUAGAUACUUCUUAUUUUCAUGCAUAUUAAUUAAACACUCCUAAUGUGGCAUUUAUUCUUUAGCCAAACAGCAUGACGAACUCUAGUUUGUGGAUAUGCUCCUCUGACCAUUGGUUGGGUUAUGGCUCAGAUAAAGGCGACAUGAGCACCAACCAAGUAAUUACAGCUACAAAAAACAUGCACGAGCUAGAAUUGUAAACAUCCAUAUAUCUAACCAUUAAUUUAUUGUUGAUUUGAAACCCUUGCCAUGCAUACGUACCAACCGGUCCUCCUUCUCUAGCACCCGUUGUGCAGGAGACACGUGAGGUGGACGUGCUCAAUCAUGAGCUGAUCGUGUCACGUCAGUCUACCAUCAAGGCCAUGCAGGAGUUGAAUGACUCCCUCGAGAAGGAGAAGGACAAUAUUAUCGACGACCACACAAUUGUGUACCAUAAGAUUUUCAAUUUCGAACGUCAGGUGGACUCACUAAACCUCGAGAUAAGCAAGCUCAAGAAGUAAAUACAAGUUGUGAAGAAGGAGAAGACUCAAUUGAAGGCAGAGAAAGUUCAUUACCUCAUGGAGGGGCAGAUGAAUAUGAAUAAGUUCCGUGAGAUUAAGAUAGUCCUUAGAGUAAACUAGUUAGUGUCGAGAGGGGCAAAUAGAUACAUGUGAAGUUGCUACUUCUCUUUUGUGAAUUUGGUAUACUAUGUUUACUUUGUGAAGCUAGCCACUACUAUCUUUUGUGAAUUGCUGACAUGUUUAGAAGAUGAAGCUGGUAGGAUCUUUUGUGAAUUGCUGAAACAUUUAGUUUGUGAAGCUGGUAGUAUUUAUUUAUUAGCAAAUUAUGAUAGUGCCGGCAUGCAACUCCGUACAACGUCAUAGGUAUUCAAAAUACUGUUGGCGUCGUCUUCAAUGCCACCACUAUAUUCUAACAGUGGUGCCAUAUUGGUGGCAUCGGGUGUCCACACCAGCAGGUCCUUUUUUGACACGCCAUAGCUAGGCUUUUCUGCACUAGCAAUUCUUGUCAAACGGAUGAAUAAUAGAGUAAUAUUUAAGAAGUACUUGGGAAUACUACUAGAAUAAGUGAGAAAACAUAAAAACAUGCAUAGAAAAUUCUUUAAACAAUACUACAAAGCAUUUAAAGAGCCCGUCACAAAUACAGUAGAAUGCUAAGGAAGAGAACUAGGUGAACACAAACAAAGUCUUCACAUGAUAACAACGAGUAAAACUCUUACAUGAAUUUAAGCAGCGGAAUAAGUAGUCACAAUGUCUUCACAACAAUCACACAAAAAGAGGAAGGGGGGAUUUUUUUUUGAAACACAACAACUUGGAGUAACUAAAAGUAUCAAAUAAUAGAACCUGUGAGCUCAGCAAAGACAAGAUGAUUUUUUUACCCAAGUUGACACCAUUGGCAACAGUUGUACGCCUUGAUUCAAGAGGUUGAGCCACUAAUGUGAGGACACACUAGUCACCGCCUUGUUCUCCUUGAGCUAAACUCCUCGGAAGUCGCCCGGUUAUUUGGGUUAGAUCUUGCGGUCAUUUCCCGAUAGGUACAUACUUGGUCUUCAGUGAAUCCACAUGGUGGAUGUUCAGAACAACACCUAAUCGUCUAGAAGACACCAAGGCAUCAGUAGUAUUGAGUCUCAAUUUAGCUUCAUAUGAUUUUUCAUUGAUGCUCAAUCGUGUUUCACAUUUUUGGCUUGGGUGUUUCUGCUUAAUUUGGAUUGGUUCGAAAUCUUUGCGGGGAAGGAUUCUAUAUACAAACACGGCAAUAGUUUCUCUCGAGCAACCGCCUUCUAUGUUUAUGGGUAGGGGGCUCUUUAUAGUCUGACACAAUGCGCUAGGUACUAAGGUGACCGUUUGAGGGUACACGCCCACCAGCUUGUUGGUGACAGCUCGCACAAUGGUAACAUUUUGAACCGCUGGCUUAUGGUUCUUAAGAACAUAGGACAACAUCAAUGGAAAGUCUCUUAACUCCUUGAUGAGAAAUCUAACUCAGGUAUUGUUGGGGAUAUUACCGCACAAAUUAGACGUGAUUGCCUGGGUUAAAGAGCGGGAGAGCUUGAAGGGAGUCGCCCUAUGAAGAGAAGGGGCCAAAGGCCGGGUCAUCCAGAUCCUGCGCGGGCCAGGUCCAAUUGGGAUAAUGGACUUGGAGGAGACCCUCCCAGAAGAGACCAGAAGCCCAAGAACGAGCCUUCGAGGAAGACACCUGGACUGGGUGUUAGUGGGAUGUCGAGCCUAGAUGAGACCCCACAACGACUGGCAAGACCCUGAUUAUGUAAGUUUCCUAUAGGAGACAGAGGCCUCCGUGCUUGUAAGGCACGAAGGAUUUGAAGUAGGACUCAGAUGACGGGAAAGAACCAAAAUCUAUUGUUAACCAUGGACCUGGCCCAUUAUAUAAAGGGGGUCCUCGAUCGUCCGAAGGGACAAGUCAAGUUAGAAGCUCUCGAUACAUAGGCAGCGAAAGAGCACCCUUGUAAUCGAGAUCAACACAUCCAAUAAGCAAACUAGUAGGAGUAGGAUUUUACCUCAUCAGGGGGGCCGAACCUGGGUAAGCUCGCCUCUUUUGUUUCCGAUCAACCCCAUCCAAGGCUUCACCUCAUAGAUAUGGCCACACAGCUAUAUUCUCGUAUGAGGGUACUUGUUGUGUUAACCCCACGACAGUUGGCUCCCAUCUGGGCCUCCACACAAAGGGCAUCAUCUAGGAGAGGGAGCACUUCCAGGAAUCGAGAAGCUGCAAUUGGCCGGCUGAAGAAGAUUCGGGCACAACGUUCUACUUUGUAGACACCGCAGGCUUGGGUCCGGAGGCCGACUCCAUCAAGUCGAGUUGCCGGGUCCCCUUCGGCAAGUUCAACGUCUUCGCUGGCUUUAUCAUUUAGUCCGAGUAGGAGCCGCACCCCAUCGACGACUCCAGCUUGGUAUACGCCAUGCUUGUCCACUAGGACAUCGAGUUAUUGUCAGUGCUAACAAGUUCGACGACACCGAGUCUAUCCUCCUGCAUUUUGACGGAAAGUUUGGUGGAUACUCUAAUGAGGAGGGAUACCCGGUCUCGUAUGGGACGUCGUGUCACACAUCCUUCUACAUGGCUGGAGGACAACAAAACCAGCCUAAUAGUGGUCAGCAAUUAAUUGGUUUGACAACCAAUUAAUCGGUCUGACAAGUUGGUUAAUCGGUUUGUCAGACCAAAUAAUUGGUCUGGCAAGUUAACGUGAUUAAUAGGUGUUGUUCAAGUCGGUCAUCCUACGAGUAGCGGUUAACUAGCAAGUUAACUGGUUAAUCGGAUGAAUUCUUGAACAGUGAACUUAAUAAAUCAUAUGACCAUCCCUCAACGUGUAACAAAGAAUCACUCCAAAGUUCAUAUCUAGAGAAGAACAUAAGGUAAAAUUGUUGUAGGUAGUAGAACCAUCUCAAAGUUAUUCUUUCCGAUCAAUCUAUUGAGAUAUUCGUAUAAUUCUAACAAAUAACCUUAGAUAUUUUUUAAUUUUAUAUGUAAAAACAAACAAAAAAAAAGUAAUCUUACCUAAUAAUAAAACAAAUAGUAUUUCUGGUCGUCCGUCGUAGUUUUUGCCCCUAAAGUUGCUCUAAAUUACCCACUAUGCCAUCCACAAGUCAAAAAACGAUUCAGAUUUCUUUUCCUGUCAAAAUCGCCGUGCGGUUUCGUUCUUAUAUGGUUGGAUACAAUAGUGUUGCGAACGCAUGUGUACCAAAGUGGCGGAAGCCUUGCCGUCAUAUAGUGCAGACCCGGGUUCGAAUCUUGAUCCUAACAUAUUUUUUUAGUCCCCUUUUCUCUUUUCAUUGCAGCUAGCAUUCACAUCCUCCUCCCUGGUACGGGUUCAUGGUCCGGUCCAUAUUUUUAUGCCUUUCUUUUCUCAUUUCUAUUUUUGUUUUUCCUAUCUUUAAAUUAAUUCGUAAUUUCCUAAAAAUCCAAAUUUUAAAAGACGUGAGUUCUAAAAAAACUGUUCAUGAAAUCAUACAAUGUUUAUUAUUCAGAAAUUGAGGACUUUGUAAAAAAUCAUGAAUUUCAAAAAUAUUUACGAUAUCUAAUAAUGUUCAUUAUUUCAAAAAUGAAUNNNNNNNNNNNNNNNNNNNNNNNNNNNNNNNNNNNNNNNNNNNNNNNNNNNNNNNNNNNNNNNNNNNNNNNNNNNNNNNNNNNNNNNNNNNNNNNNNNNNNNNNNNNNNNNNNNNNNNNNNNNNNNNNNNNNNNNNNNNNNNNNNNNNNNNNNNNNNNNNNNNNNNNNNNNNNNNNNNNNNNNNNGGAUCAAACAAAUGUUCAGUAUUCAGAAAAUCCAAAUUUUAAAAGAUGCGAGUUCUAAAAAAACUGUUCAUGAAAUCAUACAAUGUUUAUUAUUCAGAAAUUCAGGACUUUGUAAAAAAUCAUGAAUUUAAAAAAUGUUUACGAUAUCUAAUAAUGUUUAUUAUUUCAAAAAUGAAUNNNNNNNNNNNNNNNNNNNNNNNNNNNNNNNNNNNNNNNNNNNNNNNNNNNNNNNNNNNNNNNNNNNNNNNNNNNNNNNNNNNNNNNNNNNNNNNNNNNNNNNNNNNNNNNNNNNNNNNNNNNNNNNNNNNNNNNNNNNNNNNNNNNNNNNNNNNNNNNNNNNNNNNNNNNNNNNNNNNNNNNNNNNNNNNNNNNNNNNNNNNNNNNNNNNNNNGGAUCAAACAAAUGUUCAAUAUUCAGAAAAUAUUCCAAAAUUUGGAAGAUUUUAGGAAAAAUGAAAAAGAAAUAAAUAAAAAGGUAAAUAGAAAAACUAAGAGAAAAUGUGAAACCGAAAAGAAAAGAUAAAAUCGUAAGAUAAUAAAAAUAAAAACCAGGCAAAAAGCGGUUCAUUUGCCGAAAGCGAUAGACACUAAACUGCUCAUAUGAGGUUUAUGUGCCAGUGACUUAAUAUUGGUUUUCAUAUUGUUUGAAAUUGUGCUAAUAAUGAUUAUUAUUUUCAUACUAUCAUGUGGUCUAUUUUAGUGGUUCUUCAUAAGAUUGAUCUAAAUAGCUCUAGAAUUUGAGCGGUUAAGUCUUUUAGGUUUAGGUUUUAAUUAGUUUUGAGAAGUGUUUAUAUGCUUAGGGAUUGGAAGUAGUUUGUGAUCGACGAGAUUAGUUGUUAAAGUUUUAAACAUUUCAUUAUGCUACACAAUAACAAGUGUGGCGUGCAGUGGCAGGCUUAUAACCUUGAGAUUUACCACAUCAAAUGCAUUGUGAUUACAUGUACACGCCGGACAUCAUUAAAGAGGGUGGAAUAAAUAAAUAAGUGUCAACAUGAUGAGUCACCGUGUGAAAGAAAAAAGAGGACGCUCAUACAUCAAGGUAUUGAACCAUACUUAUUUAGCUAGAACGUAAUAUUUUGUCUUCCAUUACAACGCACGGGCAUAUUUGGCUAGUAUUAGAUGAAGACAAUAUAUUUUUUUCCUCGAUCACAAGACGACCCAAGACUCGUCGCGACGCUGGGUCAUCCCGGGUCAACCAUUUACGGCCAAAGUGUCACCACUCACAAGCCUUGACUAACCGGAGAAACCUGAGCAACCACGUAUAUGUGCCCACCCAAAAAUAUACGAUUAUCUUCAACGAAUAAAAUGCGGAACCACUUGCAGCGGAAAAUUAAUGGGUCCAAUGUGAUCCCUUUUUCAUUCCCAUGGGGGCCGGUCGACAUCUAUAAAUACGGGCCUUCGGGGAGCAGCAGGAUGUACACAGCUCGAAACCUGUGAGCUACUCACAGCUCGAAACCUCUGAGCUACUCACAGCUCACAAGGCAGUAAGCCCGAGCGCCUGACGGACGAUGGCGUCCUUCGCUAGAGCUGCCCGUUUCAUGGUGCUCUUCCAGAUCGCGCUAUUCAUCGUUUCCGCCGUGUUCAUGAGCAGUUCCGUCUGCCACGGUGCCCGCGAGCUCAAAGGUCACUGCUUACAAACUGUUCGUUUCAUGUUUUUCCAUCAUCUUGAAACCAAUCAUGUUUGCUAAUGCUUGCGUUCUAAAUAACUCUCUGCAGCGUCAAUCGGUACCGGGACUCUGGACCCUAACCGUCCUGCUGUGUGCAUCCGCGGACCGUGCCCACAGCCUGGCGGACCCUACACCCGUCCGUGCGGAGUACGUAACUGCCCACCGGCUGGCCAACCCUAACGCCCGCUCCCGAACAAUGGAAGGAUUAUUAUCAAAAAAUAAAAAAGAACAAUGGAAGGAUUACACGGCCUUGAUGCAUAUGCCUCCCUCGACAAGUAAAAGCUACCGCCACGGCUUUAUUAUACUGAACCGAUAAUAAUAUGCCUACUCGUGUACUUGCAUGUUUUACUACUCUGAAUAAAAUUGGCUAUGUCUGGGCCGUGAGAUAUGAAUGGUUGUUCGGUUCACAAAUAAAGAUCUAUCAGAUUCGGUCUAGCGACAAGGCUCUUCUCGCUCUAUUGACUAUCAUUGUACCUUGCUAGGCAUGAAGGCUGCAGGCCUAUGAACGGGAACGUUUGCCUCCUGUGUGUAUCUACAUCUUAUAUGACACAAAUAACAAUUUAAUAAAUAGUUGGAAAAUUUUAAAAAUAUUUUUAAAAUAAACUGGACAUUUCAUUUUAUUUGCGAGAAAUGUUUCAUAAAAAGAAAAUUACCCAUUGACUUCUUUUCAAAAAUAUAAAAUUUUGGUCAAAUUAGUGUGAAUAGUCAUCUAUAGUAGCAAAUAAAUUUGGUAAACGCUUGUGGCUAGUGCGUUCGGCCGGCCACACGCGGCCCGCGCCCGAGCUGACUAGCAUGUAAUUUUUAUCCCGUUUAAAUUUGUUGCAACCAUCGUUCAUAUUUGCUAUAAACGUUUUUUAUUUGUUACAUAUGUUCACUAAAAAAGUUGCAUUCAUGGUUGAUUGCAACUCGAGUUCGUCGGAUUUUUGCUACAAUCGGUGUUUUGACCUUUGCUACAACCGUGUUAGUUUUUGCUAUAUUCGACAUAAUUUUUUGCUGCAACCGUUCAUUAAGAAAGUUGCAUACACGUAUACGUAGAUAUUUGCUACAACCGACGUUUGACUUUUGCUACCACGCACCAUCAACUUCGUUUUUUACUACGAUCAUGUAGGUAUUUUUUUUUGCUACAAUUUUUUUUGUUACAACAGUUGACGAAAAUUGCUGCACCGCGCCAAAAAUUGUUGCAUCGAAAAAAAAAUUGCUGCAUGAAGAUCUAACGGUGCGGCCCGCCUACAGCUGACGGAUUGGACGGUUCCAGUAUUUUACUCUCAUUGCACGAGGCAGUCUUGUAGACUGAAUCUGGAUUUCAAAGUCUUAACACAAUGGCAGUCACGUUGUCCAUAUUUAUUAGCUCUGAAACGAGCUUUAACGUUCGCAUAAGCAUUCGUAAUUUCAUACCAGGGCCAGGCUUGCAGUUUUAUUCAUAGUGCUAAACGUAGGUACUUGUAACAGCGGAUAUUACUCUCGGUUCAGUAAGGUUGUCGCAGCAGCUUGUGCUGCUAGACUGCUAUGACAGAGGAAGGGGUCCAUCAAGGCCGUCCGAUCCCUCCAUUGUAUGGGGAAGGGGAUCCGCGGGAGGGACGGCCGGGGUAUCGCCCCGUAGGCCUAGGGCACGGACGUCCUCCCAUGCACGCAGGACGGUUUGGGUUCAGAGAACCACCUGGAAGGAAAACAAGCAUCCAUGGCUUUUAAUACUGAAUUUCAGAACGCAGGAAUAAGAAUCUUCUUUCAAGGAGAAGACGAAGAUUGACGAAGAGGACGAAAUAAACAGUUUGGAAGCGCUAACCGCUGAUGCUGCCGGCUCCGUGGCAGACGGAGCUGCUCAUGAUCACGGCGGAGAUGACGAAAAGCGCGAUCACCAUGAAGCGUGCAGCUCUCGCGAAGAACGCCAUCGUAAUGUGGUAGGCUGCUUACUAUGUUGCGAGUUGUGAGUUGUGAGUAGCUGGAGACUAGGAGCUGUGUGUGUAUAUCCUGCUGCUCGCGGAAGGCCCGUAUUUGUAGAUGCCGACCCCCAUGGAAAUGAAAAAGAUCGCUUUGGCCCCC